GAAAUGCGAUAAGUAAUGUGAAUUGCAGAAUUCAGUGAAUCAUCGAAUCUUUGAACGCACCUUGCGCUCCUUGGUAUUCCGAGGAGCAUGCCUGUUUGAGUGUCAUGAAAUUCUCAACCUACAAGCCUUUUCGGAGGUUCUUGUACGGCUUGGACUUGGAGGAUCAUUGUCGGCAGCGAUGUCGGCUCCUCUUAAACGCAUUAGCUAGUUCUCGCGGAACGGCUUUCGGUGUGAUAAUUGUCUACGCCGUGGUCGUACCGAGUAUAUGGACGAGCUUCUAAACCGUCACUCCUUGUGAGAGACACAUAUCUUGACAUCUGACCUCAAAUCAGGUAGGACUACCCGCUGAACUUAA
RNAcentral lists this ribosomal RNA (355 nucleotides) under Trametes vernicipes. RNAcentral describes it as "eukaryotic LSU rRNA". The stretch from base 1 to 105 matches the Rfam family "5.8S ribosomal RNA", at positions 50 to 154 of the family's 154-position model. Lineage: Eukaryota; Fungi; Basidiomycota; Agaricomycetes; Polyporales; Polyporaceae. The record is from RNAcentral.